UUCAUGUCUCUGUGUCACAUUUUGAUAAUUCUCACAAUAUUUCAAACUUUUUCAUUAUCAUAUCUGCUGUAGUGAUCUGUGUUCAGUGAUCUUUAAUGCUACCAUUGUAAUUAUUUUCGGGCACCACGAACUGUGCCUUUGUAUUCCCUGAGACAGAACAGUAUUAAAAUUAGGCUAAUGAGUAACUUUACGAUGGCCUCUAACUGUUCAAGUGAAAGGAAGAGGCUCAUGUCUCUCACUUUAAAUCAAAAGCUAGAAGUGAUUAAGCUUAGUGAGAAAGGCAUGUCAAAAGCCAAGGCAGGCUGAAAGCUAUGCCUCUUGCACCACACAGCCAAGUUGUGAAUGCAAAUGAAACAUUAUUGAAAGAAUUUAAAAGUGCUACUCCAAUGAACACACGACUGAUCAGAAAGCAAAACAGCCUUAUUGCUGAUAUGGAGAAAGUAUGAGUGGCUGGGAUAGAAGAUUAAACCAGCCAUAAUGUUCCUUAAGCCAAAGCCUAAUCUGGAGAAAGACUCGAACUCUCUUCAAUUUAAUGAGGCUGAGAGGGGUGAGGAAGCUGCACAAGAAAAGUUUGAGGCUAACAGAGAUUAGUUAAUGAGUUGUUUCCGUAACAUGAAAGUGCAAGAUGAAGCAGCAAAUGCUAAUGUAGAAGCUGCAGCAAGUUAUCCAGAAGAUCUGGCUAAGAUCAUUGGUGAAGGUGGCUUCACUAAAAAAUAGAUUUUCAGUACAAACCAAACAGCCCUCUAUUGGAAGAAGAUGCUCUCUAGAAAUUUUACAGCUAGAGAGGAGAAGUCAAUGUCUGACUUCGAAGCUUCAAAAAAUAGGCUGAUUCUCUUGUUAAGGUAUAAUGCAGCUGGUGACCUUAAGUUGAUGCUUAAAUGCUCAUUUAUCAUUCUGAAUAUCCUAGGACCCUUAAUAAUUAUGCUAAAUCUACUCUGCCUAUGCUGUAUAAAUGGAACAACAAGACCUGGAUGAUAGCAUAUCUGUUUAUAGUAUGGUUUGUUGCAUAUUUUAAUCCCACUAUUGAUACCUACUGCUCAGAAAAAAGGAUUCUUUACAAAAUGUUGCUGCUCAUUGACAAUAUACCUGUUCACUCAAGAGCUCCGAUGGAGAUGCACAGGAGAUUAAUGUUUUUAUGCCUGCAAAGACAACAUUCAUUAUGUAGUCUAUGGAUCAAGGAGAAAUUUUGACUUUCAAAUAUUAUUAUUUAAUAAAUACAUUUUGUAAGGCUACAGCUGCCAUAGUGAUUCCUCUGAUGAAUCUGGGCAAACUAAAUGGAAAAGCUUCUGGAAAGGAUUCACCAUUCCAGAUGCCAUUGAGAACAUUCAUAAUCGAGGCUAGGAGGUGAAAAUAUCAAUGUUAACAUGAGUUUGGAAGAAGUUAAUUCCAAUCUUUAUGGAUGAGUUUGAGGGAUUCAAGACUUCUUUGGGAGAAGUAACCACAGAUGUAGUGGAAACAGCAAGAAAACUAGAAGGGUAGCCUAAAGAUGUGACUGAAUUGCUGCAAUCUCAUGGUCAAACUGUAAUGAGUGAGGAGUUGCUUCUUACAUAUGAGCAAAGAAAGUGGUUUCUUGAGAUAGAAUCUAUUCCUGGUGAAGAUUCUGUGAACAAUGUUGAAAUAAUGGCAAAGUAUUUCAAAUAUUACAUAAACUUAGUUGAUAAAGCAGUGGCAGGAUUUGAGAGGAUUGACUCCAGUUUCAAAAGAAGUAAAAGAAGUUGUGCUGUAAAUAAAAUGCAAUCAAACAGCAUUGCGUACCACAGAUAAAUCUUUCAUGAAAGGAUGAGUCAAUUGAUGCCGCAAACUUCAUAGUUGUCUUAUUGCAAGAAAUUGCCAUAGCCUUCCCAACCUUCAGCAACCACCAGCCUGAUCAGUUAGCAGUCAUCAACAAUGAGGCAAGACCCUCCACCAGCAAAAGGUUAUGACUUGCUGAAGGCUCAGAUGAUCAUUACCAUUUUUUAGCAAUAAAGUAAUUUUAAAUUAAGGUAUACACAUUGUUUUUUAAAGACAUAAUGCUAUUGCACACUUAAUAGACUACUAUAUAGUAUAAACAUAACUUUUAUACACACUGCAAAACCAAAAAAUUCAUGUGACUUGCUUUGUUACAAUAUUUGUUUUACUGUGGUGGUCUGGAACCAAACCUGCAAUAUGCCUGAGGUAUAGCUAUAUUUACACCACGGAAACUGGAAAAUGCAAUUUCCAAACUAGGGCUUUUUUCUUCCCCGGGAAAGGUGAUUGUGAAAUAUUUAGCAGUAUAUCACUGCAAAUGAUAGUUCAGUCUCAUAUCUCCUUUGGGAAGGAGGAGGUCUAAUAGUGUAUGAAAUUUUCUAAACAUAGGAAUUCUGUUUAAAAUAUGCUAUGCAGCUACCAACAGCCAUUGAUUGCAAGGUUUCCUCCACUUCACUCCCUUGUCAAAGUAUCUUUUGAUGCCUGAUAAUGCAGUGAGAUAGAACUGCAAAUGUACUUUAGGUUAUAGCCAGAAUUUACAGCCUUGUUUCCCCUCUAUUGGACAUUGUUCCAAGCAACACUGUUUUCCCGGAAAUACUGCAGACUGUUUAUUUAAGGACAAAAGGGGACCAUGUGGCUUUUUGAAAUGUCACUGUCAAGCACUGGGCCAUGACAAUUCUGACCAAGUAUGGCAGUGUUCUAGUAUUAGGUCUCCAGGAAUUAUUCCCAGGAGGCGAGUAGUCUUCAAAGAUAAAAUGAUGGUGCAGAUGGUCACACAGCACGUAUGAGAGAGAUAUACCAAGAGAGACACUCCAUCUCUACAAAAAAAUAAUGAGAAGGUGGGCGUGGUGGCUCAUGCCUGUAAUCCCAGCACUUUGGGAGGCCGAGGUGAGUGGAUCACCUGAGGUCAGGAGUUCGAGAUCAGCCUGACCAACAUGGAGAAACCCUGUCUCUACUGAAAAUACAAAAUUAGCUGGGCAUGGUGGUACAUGCCUGUAAUCCCAGCUACUUUGGAGGCUGAGGCAGGAGAAUUGCUUGAACCCGGGAGGUGGAGGUUGCAGUGAGCCAAGAUUGUGCCAUUGCACUCCAGCCUGGGCAACAAGAGCGAUACUCCAUUUCAAAAUAAUAAUAAUGAUGAUAAUAAUAAUUAUUAUAAUAAGGAGAAACUUACUUGGCAAAUUCAGAGAUGGGAAAUCUUGAAAGAGUCUCUCAAUUGGAAAUGAAGGAAAUUGGGCAGCAUUUUCUUCUUCAUUUCUCACCUUCUCCUCUAGGUACCAGACAGACUCCUGGGAAGUCAGGGAAGUCAGGAGAAAAAGUUUCAGUCUCGCCUAGGACAGAUAGGACAGAAAGCUCAUGUUGACAAGCCAGAGCUGAGGGGGCUGCCACCAGUUAAGAUCUUCUCAAGCACAAGCAUUCCAGUACUAUUAGCCCUCCCUUGGACACAAAGAGUAGUGGCCAGACUGGGGUCAUGCUCAACGUGGGGUAGCAGAGAUGUCUGUGGUGCCCAGAAGUAGAGAAACAGUUCCAGGCUCCAAGCAGAGUGUUUUGAAAAAGACUUUUUUUGUGAAGUAUCAUGAAGCCCUCUCUCAGCUGCAAAGGACUCUUUAUCAGUGACAGCAGUGACUGUAGUGAUGGGUGCAGGGGACAGACCAUUCAACCCAGCUGAAAGGUAUCCUAGGGAACCAGUGAGGAGCCCUGGAUGCUGCAAUUAACGGCCUGGACAGAGGAUGGGGACAUGAAUAAUGGUAGAGUCCAGCAUUAGCACAACACUCCAUUCAUCACUGCUGAAGGGCAAAUGCAUAACCCUCAAAAUGAUCCUGGAAAGAGGAAAAGGGAGAGGAAUUGCAAGUUCCAUGGAACAGUGAUUUACCAUGCAGCAGAGGAUGUGAGCAUCUCCGAAAUAGAAGGGUCCACAUAUUUUGAACUUUAACAUAUAUAAUGAUACUUAUAAUGUGACUGUUACGGGCAGCUGAUUUUUCAUACAAUUGACAUGUGAGUAUUUUCCAGGCAGGCAUCUUAUUUCCUGUGUAUGUGCCCCCUAUUUAUGCAGGACCAUCAACAGGACCAACAUUGAGUAGAAAUCAGUCACAGCAAACCACUUUCCUUUUUAUUUCAUGUACUCUGUACCCUCCUUUAAUGGCAACAUAAUUGCAUCAUAUCAUUGGUUUGUAGUGUGGAGGCUGUGGGUCUGAUUUUUAGUUUCCCAAUCCGUGCAGAAUAUUCAGAAGAAUAGAGGGUUGGAGACCUCUAGUUCAGGUCAAAAUCAGUGUGAAAGGCUUGACUUUGGAAAGGGUAAAGAGAGUUCAAUUUAAACUGAGUCUCCAGCUAGGGGCAGGGAGAGGAAAGAGGAGUUAGUCUCCCACAAGAGGAGACUAGCAUAAUCUUUGUGCCCUAAUUAGGCAUCCUUGGGCUUAGGGAAUUACUAGGGGAUACGGGAGUGUAAUGCAGGAAAACCAAGGCAGAAGUCAUGUCCGAGAGUCUGGAUCAAUCCUUCAGGGCAGGGGGUGGAGCAAGGGAAGAAAGGGGAGCUGUGCCAAGGGGUCUACCAGUGGGCCCAGGGCAGAUCCCAAGUCCAUAAGCAAUAGGAUCAGGUCCAGGUACCACCUUCUUGAAAUCUGAGGCUGCUGCUGUACUUCCUGCCCCUGCUACCUUGGGCCUGGGGCUGUAAAUGUCAUCAGAUAGUCCACCUGGAAGGGCCUGUGGAAAGCAAAAUCAGAGAAACAAGGCAGGAGCUGGCCACUUGUGAAAUUUUUCCUGGAAACUCUGUCAUGGAAUCAUGUUUUAGAUACCAGAAGGAAGGGCUGCUCUGACUAACUGACCAUGAAUCGGAGAAGAGGCCUGCGAUGAUCUAGGCAGUGGGUUAUGGGAGAGGAAUGGAAAACUGCAGAAUGGAUUCUCCAGCCCAUUCAGCGCUCAUACUACAUGGGCAUGUUCACAGACCUGCAGGCUUUGCCUUUGUCUGUCUCCCUGCUUUUGGAAGGGAUGGCACAGCUUUGCCCCCUUUCCUGGAGGCACAGUAGUCUGACUUGAGUCUUUCGCUGUCUUCUGUAUCCAACUCAUUCAUGAAAUUAUAUGAGAUAAUUUCCAAAUAAGUGACUUUUUUGGCUUAUUUGCCCAAUUGACUUAAUUAUUGCCGGUUUAUUCUUCUUGUUUUGGAUUCCUUGAGCUGAGAGAGUGAAAAAGGGAGUUUAUUUAAGAAGAUAAGGACAGAUUAGGUUUUCAAUUUGGUGGUAUGAUGCAGUCUGCUUUCUUAACUCUAUUAUGACCUAUUUAGUGUUUGUUUUUCUCUUAUUGUGGAAGUAACAUAUGCUGAUUAUAGAGAUAUAGAAAAAGAUAAAAAGUAUCCAUUUCAAUUGACCAAUAAUGUCCUCUCAGCAAUUUGGUGUAUAUCAUGUAUUUUUAAAUAAACAGAUUGCUUUGUAAAUACA
This is a long non-coding RNA of Homo sapiens (human), 5372 nucleotides long. RefSeq lists it as uncharacterized. The record is from RefSeq and is a predicted model, not a curated record. The transcript is spliced from 2 exons. NCBI's taxonomy places the organism in Eukaryota, Metazoa, Chordata, Mammalia, Primates, Hominidae.